UACGAAGGGGGCUAGCGUUGCUCGGAAUCACUGGGCGUAAAGGGUGCGUAGGCGGGUCUUUAAGUCAGGGGUGAAAUCCUGGAGCUCAACUCCAGAACUGCCUUUGAUACUGAGGAUCUUGAGUUCGGGAGAGGUGAGUGGAACUGCGAGUGUAGAGGUGAAAUUCGUAGAUAUUAGGAAGAACACCAGUGGCGAAGGCGGCUCACUGGUCCGGUACUGACGCUGAGGCGCGAGAGCGCGGGGAGCGAACGGG
This 253-nucleotide ribosomal RNA is filed under the name uncultured bacterium. RNAcentral describes it as "partial 16S ribosomal RNA". It matches the Rfam family "Bacterial small subunit ribosomal RNA", at positions 524 to 776 of the family's 1533-position model. The record is from RNAcentral.